UACGAAGGGGCUAGCGUUGCUCGGAAUCACUGGGCGUAAAGGGUGCGUAGGCGGGUCUUUAAGUCAGAGGUGAAAUCCUGGAGCUCAACUCCAGAACUGCCUUUGAUACUGAGGUGUCUAGUAUGACAGAGGUGAGUGGAACUGCGAGUGUAGAGGUGAAAUUCGUAGAUAUUCGCAAGAACACCAGUGGCGAAGGCGGCUCACUGGCCCGAUACUGACGCUGAGGUGCGAAGCGUGGGGAGCAAACAGG
Molecule: ribosomal RNA, 250 nt
Filed under: uncultured bacterium
Lineage: Bacteria
Description: partial 16S ribosomal RNA
Rfam family: Bacterial small subunit ribosomal RNA
Source: RNAcentral